Molecule: ribosomal RNA, 861 nt
Filed under: Lactococcus sp. AKB-2008-HE53
Lineage: Bacteria; Bacillati; Bacillota; Bacilli; Lactobacillales; Streptococcaceae
Description: bacterial SSU rRNA
Rfam family: Bacterial small subunit ribosomal RNA
Source: RNAcentral
GCUCAGGACGAACGCUGGCGGCGUGCCUAAUACAUGCAAGUUGAGCGCUGAAGGUUGGUACUUGUACCAACUGGAUGAGCAGCGAACGGGUGAGUAACGCGUGGGGAAUCUGCCUUUGAGCGGGGGACAACAUUUGGAAACGAAUGCUAAUACCGCAUAAAAACUUUAAACACAAGUUUUAAGUUUGAAAGAUGCAAUUGCAUCACUCAAAGAUGAUCCCGCGUUGUAUUAGCUAGUUGGUGAGGUAAAGGCUCACCAAGGCGAUGAUACAUAGCCGACCUGAGAGGGUGAUCGGCCACAUUGGGACUGAGACACGGCCCAAACUCCUACGGGAGGCAGCAGUAGGGAAUCUUCGGCAAUGGACGAAAGUCUGACCGAGCAACGCCGCGUGAGUGAAGAAGGUUUUCGGAUCGUAAAACUCUGUUGGUAGAGAAGAACGUUGGUGAGAGUGGAAAGCUCAUCAAGUGACGGUAACUACCCAGAAAGGGACGGCUAACUACGUGCCAGCAGCCGCGGUAAUACGUAGGUCCCGAGCGUUGUCCGGAUUUAUUGGGCGUAAAGCGAGCGCAGGUGGUUUAUUAAGUCUGGUGUAAAAGGCAGUGGCUCAACCAUUGUAUGCAUUGGAAACUGGUAGACUUGAGUGCAGGAGAGGAGAGUGGAAUUCCAUGUGUAGCGGUGAAAUGCGUAGAUAUAUGGAGGAACACCGGUGGCGAAAGCGGCUCUCUGGCCUGUAACUGACACUGAGGCUCGAAAGCGUGGGGAGCAAACAGGAUUAGAUACCCUGGUAGUCCACGCCGUAAACGAUGAGUGCUAGAUGUAGGGAGCUAUAAGUUCUCUGUAUCGCAGCUAACGCAAUAAGCA